This 833-nucleotide ribosomal RNA is filed under the name Curtobacterium sp. Its description in RNAcentral is "bacterial SSU rRNA". It matches the Rfam family "Bacterial small subunit ribosomal RNA", at positions 56 to 901 of the family's 1533-position model. The record is from RNAcentral. Lineage: Bacteria; Bacillati; Actinomycetota; Actinomycetes; Micrococcales; Microbacteriaceae.
UGCAGUCGACGAUGAUGCCCAGCUUGCUGGGUUGAUUAGUGGCGAACGGGUGAGUAACACGUGAGUAACCUGCCCCUGACUCUGGGAUAAGCGUUGGAAACGACGUCUAAUACUGGAUAUGAUCGCCGGCCGCAUGGUCUGGUGGUGGAAAGAUUUUUUGGUUGGGGAUGGACUCGCGGCCUAUCAGCUUGUUGGUGAGGUAAUGGCUCACCAAGGCGACGACGGGUAGCCGGCCUGAGAGGGUGACCGGCCACACUGGGACUGAGACACGGCCCAGACUCCUACGGGAGGCAGCAGUGGGGAAUAUUGCACAAUGGGCGAAAGCCUGAUGCAGCAACGCCGCGUGAGGGAUGACGGCCUUCGGGUUGUAAACCUCUUUUAGUAGGGAAGAAGCGAAAGUGACGGUACCUGCAGAAAAAGCACCGGCUAACUACGUGCCAGCAGCCGCGGUAAUACGUAGGGUGCAAGCGUUGUCCGGAAUUAUUGGGCGUAAAGAGCUCGUAGGCGGUUUGUCGCGUCUGCUGUGAAAUCCCGAGGCUCAACCUCGGGCUUGCAGUGGGUACGGGCAGACUAGAGUGCGGUAGGGGAGAUUGGAAUUCCUGGUGUAGCGGUGGAAUGCGCAGAUAUCAGGAGGAACACCGAUGGCGAAGGCAGAUCUCUGGGCCGUAACUGACGCUGAGGAGCGAAAGCAUGGGGAGCGAACAGGAUUAGAUACCCUGGUAGUCCAUGCCGUAAACGUUGGGCGCUAGAUGUAGGGACCUUUCCACGGUUUCUGUGUCGUAGCUAACGCAUUAAGCGCCCCGCCUGGGGAGUACGGCCGCAAGGCUAAAACU